This is a microRNA precursor of Astyanax mexicanus (Mexican tetra), 67 nucleotides long. The record is from Ensembl. Lineage: Eukaryota; Metazoa; Chordata; Actinopteri; Characiformes; Acestrorhamphidae.
AUUUGAAACGUUUUAGCCAAAAAUGUUUCCAUGGUAAAGGUGUUUUUUGCAGAAACGUUUCAGAUUU